This 714-nucleotide long non-coding RNA is filed under the name Malus domestica (apple). Its description in RNAcentral is "long non-coding RNA (MDOM_LNC000491)". Lineage: Eukaryota; Viridiplantae; Streptophyta; Magnoliopsida; Rosales; Rosaceae. The record is from RNAcentral.
AACAUAAAAACGCAUUUUUCUUUUAAGUAUAUAUUUACAUAUCCAAAAUAAGAGCAUAAUAAAAAAAACAUUAAAACAUUACAAAAUAUCAAAUGUUCAAAAGAUUUGUAAAAUUAAGGACAUUGGAACAUUAGAACAUCUUGCACAUUUUCUUCCAAUCAAACCCUUCAAGUUUUCUGUGCGGCUGCUCCUUUGGCAGUGUCAAGGGCUUGAAGAUAAAGUUUGAAAGUUAUUAAAUCGAUAAAUUGAGCUUAUUCUUUUCUCUAAGUCAAAAUGGUCAUACACACAGGACAUACCUUAUUUCUUGAAUCCAAAUUAAAAAGAAGCAAUGAGAGACAAAAAAAUUCAAACAAAAUGUAUAAAAAUAAAAUAAAAAUAUAUUACGAUGAGGGAGAUUAAUCCGAAAGAAAUUGGAAUAUGUACAAUUGGCUAAGUAUUUAGUAGGCAUACAAAUUAAAAAGCAAUAAAAGUAUAAAACUGGGGCUUGAAGUUUUGCCAGAAUUCCUCUUCCUAAUAAAUUAUAAUUAAUUCAUAAUUAACCCGAACACUUAAAACAAUUUUCCAAGAUUUAAUUUCUAUCCCUCAUUUUCGUUAGGGUCACAACAAUGAUCUAAAUUAGUACUCUCCAAAGCAGCCACUGCUUUCAGUUCAGUUACAUUUUGUCAUUUCCAUGAAUGGAGGAAUAAAGAGGGAGAAAUACUUACGUAGAGAAAU